This 432-nucleotide unclassified non-coding RNA is filed under the name soil metagenome. RNAcentral's name for it is "partial contains 5.8S ribosomal RNA, internal transcribed spacer 2, and large subunit ribosomal RNA". The stretch from base 1 to 120 matches the Rfam family "5.8S ribosomal RNA", at positions 35 to 154 of the family's 154-position model. The record is from RNAcentral.
GAUGAAGAACGCAGUGAAAUGCGAUACGUAAUGUGAAUUGCAGAAUUCAGUGAAUCAUCGAAUCUUUGAACGCAUAUUGCGCUCUCUGGUAUUCCGGAGAGCAUGCUUGUUUGAGUAUCAGUAAACACCUCAACUUCCAUAUCUUUUUUGAAAUGGGAGUUGGACUUGAGUGAUCCCAACGCUUUUCCUCACCGAAAAGUGGCGGGUUACUUGAAAUGCAGGUGCAGCUGGACUUUUCUCUGAGCUAUAAGCAUAUCUAUUUAGUCUGCCUAAAAAACAGAUUAUUACCUUUGCUGCAGCUAACAUAAAGGAGAUUAGUUCUUGUGCUGACUGAUGCAGGAUUCACAAAGACGGCUUCGGCCGACUUUGUAAACUCGAUCUCAAAUCAAGUAAGACUACCCGCUGAACUUAAGCAUAUCAAUAAGCGGAGGA